AACGAACGCUGGCGGCAUGCCUAACACAUGCAAGUCGAACGAGACCUUCGGGUCUAGUGGCGCACGGGUGCGUAACGCGUGGGAACCUGCCCUUAGGUUCGGAAUAACUCCCCGAAAGGGGUGCUAAUACCGGAUAAUGUCUUCGGACCAAAGAUUUAUCGCCUUUGGAUGGGCCCGCGUUGGAUUAGCUUGUUGGUAGGGUAAAAGCCUACCAAGGCGACGAUCCAUAGCUGGUCUGAGAGGAGGAUCAGCCACACUGGGACUGAGACACGGCCCAGACUCCUACGGGAGGAAGCAGUGGGGAAUAUUGGACAAUGGGCGAAAGCCUGAUCCAGCCAUGCCGCGUGAGUGAUGAAGGCCUUAGGGUUGUAAAGCUCUUUUACCCGGGAUGAUAAUGACAGUACCGGGAGAAUAAGCGCCGGCUAACUCCGUG
This 433-nucleotide ribosomal RNA is filed under the name uncultured bacterium. RNAcentral's name for it is "partial 16S ribosomal RNA". It matches the Rfam family "Bacterial small subunit ribosomal RNA", at positions 29 to 507 of the family's 1533-position model. The record is from RNAcentral.